RNAcentral lists this ribosomal RNA (332 nucleotides) under uncultured bacterium. RNAcentral describes it as "bacterial SSU rRNA". It matches the Rfam family "Bacterial small subunit ribosomal RNA", at positions 568 to 898 of the family's 1533-position model. The record is from RNAcentral.
CGCGUAGGCGGCUCGGCACGUCCGUUGUGAAAUCGCCCGGCUCAACUGGGCGGGGUCAGCGGAUACGGUCGAGCUUGAGCAAGCUAGGGGGCAAUGGAAUUCCCGGUGUAGUGGUGGAAUGCGUAGAUAUCGGGAGGAACACCAGUGGCGAAGGCGGUUGCCUGGGGCUUUGCUGACGCUGAUGCGCGAAAGCGUGGGGAGCGAUCCGGAUUAGAUACCCGGGUAGUCCACGCCGUAAACGAUGCGGACUAGGUGUCGGGGGUAUCGACCCCCUCGGCGCCGCAGCUAACGCAUUAAGUCCGCCGCCUGGGGACUACGGCCGCAAGGCUAAA